Molecule: ribosomal RNA, 468 nt
Filed under: uncultured bacterium
Lineage: Bacteria
Description: partial 16S ribosomal RNA
Rfam family: Bacterial small subunit ribosomal RNA
Source: RNAcentral
GACGAACGCUGGCGGCGUGCUUAACACAUGCAAGUCGAACGGAAAGGCCCUUCUGGUGGUGGUUGCUCGAGGGGCGAGCGGGUGAGUAACACGUGAGUAGCCUUCCCUUUACGGUGGGAUAACUUCAGGAGACUGGGGCUAAGACCGGAUAUGAUCGCCGGCUGCAGGGGGUUGGUUGGAAAGGUUGGGCGGUUGGGGAUGAACUCGCGGCUUGUCAGCUUGUGGGUGGGGGAGUGGCUUACAAAGUCUUUGACGGGUAGCCGGCCUGGGAGGGUGACCGGCACCAUUGGGCCUAGGAUACGCCCAAGCUUCCACGGGGAGGAAGAAGUGGGGAUAAUUGAACAAUGGGCGGAAGCCUGAUGAAGAACCCCGGCGUGCGGGAUGCCGCCUUCCGGGUUGAAACCCCCUUCAGCAGGUGCCGAACCGUGAGUGACGGUACCGGGUAAAGAAGCACCGGCUAACUACGUG